RNAcentral lists this ribosomal RNA (232 nucleotides) under uncultured Actinomycetales bacterium. RNAcentral's name for it is "partial 16S ribosomal RNA". It matches the Rfam family "Bacterial small subunit ribosomal RNA", at positions 97 to 334 of the family's 1533-position model. Lineage: Bacteria; Bacillati; Actinomycetota; Actinomycetes; Actinomycetales. The record is from RNAcentral.
GGCGAACGGGUGAGUAACACUGGGUGAUCUGCCCUGCACUUCGGGAUAAGCUUGGGAAACUGGGUCUAAUACCGGAUAGGAGCCAUCUUUAGUGUGGUGGUUGGAAAGUUUUUCGGUGUAGGAUGAGCUCGCGGCCUAUCAGCUCGUUGGUGGGGCAAUGGCCUACCAAGGCGGCGACGGGUAGCCGGCCUGAGAGGGUGUACGGCCACAUUGGGACUGAGAUACGGCCCAG